GCAAGUAAGCAAUUGCGCUGUGUAACCUAUGGUUAUACAGGCGCAAUUGCUUCUUGAAUCUGGCCCAAGGUUUAUAGGUCGGAGCAAUCAUUGGUUGUAUGUUCUCUGGCCUUUACUAAAUGGGAGGUCCAGCGCCCCUGUGUGGGAAAAGGGUGGAUUGGCAGUGAUCUUUGAAUGGCGGGGCUCCCCCUGUGGUCAGUUGCCUGUAUUUCUACAAUUCUGAAUAGUUUCGAGCUUGGGGAAGAGAUGGACGCUGUGUUUUUCUUAGAGUGCCGAUGAUGUCUCCUUGUAUGUUUGAGGCGAUGCCAGGGUUUAUAGGUCGUAUGUUUACUGGCCUUUGUUAAAUAGGAGGUCCAGCGCCCCUGUGUGUUGGAGGAGGAGAUGGCUCAGAGGCCAAUGGGGGCCUUGAGUUUGAUUCUGAACGUAUUCCUCCUAUUUUCGGUUUAGGUUGAAUUCUGAAAAUGAGAAACUCCUGAAGUAUGAUGGACGAGCACAUUGGUGUGUUGGAGGAGGAGAUGGCUCAGAGGUCACUGGGUGGGGCCUUGAGUUCAAUUCUGACCUUAUUCCUCCUAUUUUUUGUUUUGGUUGAAUCCUGAAAUGAGAAGUAUGAUGGACGAGCACAUUGGUGUGUGAGAGGAGGUGAUGGCUCAGAGGUAAGUUCUCUGGCUUCAGACCCUGGAGCUGUGAGAUCGAAUCCCAGAGCCAACAUCUCCUAGUGACCCUGCAUGGGUUGCCACACCCCCUCAGGGGGGUGGUCACUGGUUCACCCACCAUGGGAUCCUACGUGUGUAUGGGAUCUCAGUACUGAUCCUAAGUGUGCAUGGGAUCUCAGUACUGAGAGCACCUCUUCACCCGACAAACACAGGAACACCUCAGAUACCCAAUGGGGUUGAGCCGAGAUCACCCCCAAAUCACAAACCCAGGAACACCUCCGAUACCCAAUGGGGGCAAGUGGGAGUAAAAAAGAAAAAACUAAUUUUUUUUUGGCACUGUGGUCACCUGAAGGCUUUCCACCUUCUGUGGGGGGUGUAUACUGGUUACCAGAGCGCCCAUGGUUGGAGCCACCUGAAGGUUUUUGCCCUUUCAACCUUCUUGGGCAGGAGCCUGGUCCACAGCUGGAGUCACCUGAGGGUCUUUACCCUCCAUCCAACCCAGAGGGCGCUUGGUGACUUUUACCCUGGGGCCCAGGACACCAGAGGUGAGGUGAGGUGACCUGUCCAGAGUCACCAGGAGAUUGCUCAGGGAUUCGAACUCUCAGCCCUUAUCGUACCACCAGCCCUCGUUGUUGUCUACGAGUCCUCUGAGCCAUCUCCUCCUCACACAGAACAAUGUGCUCGUCCUCCUAUUUCUCCAGAACUGGGACUGGUAGAAUUUUUUAUAAGGUGGUAAAGAAAUGAUUCGAACCCACAGACCUGGCUCUCCAGCCGGAGCACUUACCACACAGCCAACAGCCUCUUGUGUAGUGUUGGGUGUGUUUUCUCCAGGGCAAGGACUCGUGAAAUUAUAGAGUUAAAGAAAUGGUUGAAGGCCACCAUACCUUCUCAGUAUCUAGAGCAUUUACCUUACAGAGUAUGGUGUGUUCAUCCUCCUCCACCUCCUUUUUCUGCAGGACAAGGACUGGUGGGAUUAUUAGAACAUGGUAAAGGAAAGGUUUGAACCCACAGCUCCUUCUCUCCAAUCUCGAAAAGUUACCUCUACACCAUCUCCUCCACCAACGUAGGCUUCCUUAGUUCUGAAUGUUGUUCUCUACAUUGCUCGGUGUAAAACAGCAAUAAGGGGGAUCGAACCCAUGACUAGAAAUCACCAGCCACCUCCAUUACCUGCUGAGCCACCUCUGCCAUGAGCGUCCGGCGCUUAAAAAAAAAAAACUAAAUCCCUUUAAGACGACGAGGUCAUUGUUGAGAGGUAUAGCGCGGUCAUACCCCGAAGGGUCCGACGUUUAGGGCAGUAAUCUUCUUCUUUGUAAUUUAGUGCUGAUCUUCAUCAGGAACAAAAUAAUUCACAGACGUAUCCCUCGCCAUAUAUUUGAUGGGAAUGUAUUUGGUAAUGUGGUCAGGAAGUCGGCGUGUGAUUGGUGGAUGAUGGGUGACGUAGGAGAGGUGUGUGGGGAGAGCUUCAGGUCUGUGGAGAACCAUCUCUCAGUAUGGAGAUGAGUUGUGAUUGGAGGAGAUGGCGCCCCUGGGUGUCGGGACGGGUGAUGUGUUGUACGCUCAUGGGACUCUUAUUAUAAAAUAUAAUCGCCUUUCUCAGGGCUGGCUCGUUCUUGGGUUCAGGGGGCUCGUUCUUGGGUUCAGGGCGGUUCGUUCUUGGGUUCAGGGCGGUUCGUUCUUGGGUUCAGGGCGGUUCCGGGCGGUUCGUUCUUGGGUUCAGGGCGGCUCGUUCUCGGGUUCAGGGCGGCUCGUUCUUAGGUUCUGGGCGGUUCGUUCUUGGGUUCAGGGCAGCUCGUUCUUGGGUUCAGGGCGGCUCGUUCUUGGGUUCUCUUCCCUUUAUAGGGAAGGAUAAGGUUUCCACGUCUCGCAUAUCAGGAAAGGUUUGUGCCGGGUUCUCAGGUGCUGAGAUCUCCUUCUGGAGUCCGAGAUCCGGGUGUAAUAAAGAUGGCGUAACGUGGGAUUGAACUCAGGGCUCCAAAAUCAUCUACCCCCGAGCACUUACCAGUGAGCCACCAGAAACACUCAGCACCAACCACCGUCAGUCUUCUAUAUCAGAAUACAACCCUGAAACUUGACCAAAACCGGGGCUAUUCAUAAAAGAGAAGGGUCUCCCUCAAUGCCUCCUCCCCAGCCGCAGCCCUUAGUUUAAUUUUGCCUUCACUUAGGUGCCAAGGUUAAAAACUAUUAUGUAGGCACUGAAUGGAGGAGGGGUAAGGAGGUAUGUGUUGGGGGGGAUCACAGAUUUACUUUAAGACCCCCAUUACAUUUUUGCAUUGCAAUACUGUUCGCUGUAUCAAGGAAACCCAUUGAAAUGAUUGGGCUGCCUACUUACCCCAACGUCCCAGUUAGGACCUAUAUUUUUUUUUUGGAGCACGUCGCCUCGAAAGGAAUUGCACCACAACGCACAUAUUGUGUUUGGCAGCAUGUUCUUGGAAAUGAAAAUUGGCCCUUGACGAGGAUGCAUCUCCUUUGGGGCCCAUUCACAAUUGUGCGUUAUGGUAACAUGUAUAUACUCAGUGUGUUUGGUGUGAAUGGGCCCUUAGAUGCCCCAACAAAUGUACUGAAAAGGCCUUCACAUUAUGUACUGUAAAGGACUUUACAUUACUAGAAUAUAGAAGUUCUGCUUCUGGUGUAGCACCUCCUUUGAGGUUCCAGUCAGGCCCAGACCGACAUUUCUGGGAAAGGAGAGAAGAGGAAUUGUGAGUUGUUAGGAACACUUGGGGUCUACAGUCUUCUCUCACCGUUUCCCAUCCAGCAGACAGUAUGGUCUGAGCUGGUGCUGCUCUUGUCACAGGAGGCUUUCCUAAUCACAGGCCACACCCCUGAGGAUCAGAGAUGAGAUUUUAGGAUGUCGUAUGGUGCUUUAGUAUUUCCAGCGGACACUAAAAGUGAGCUAGUGCUGCUCAGGUCCCAGGAGGCUUUGCUGGUCACAGGCUAUGCCCCCGAGGAUCAGAGAUCAGUUUCACGGUGCUUUUGUCAUUAAACGGUUGGUCUAUAAGUGCCAUACAAAGUUAGAAAUAUGUACCUGGACUAUAUGGUAACACUGUAGGCCCUUGUAAAGAGAAGCUGCCAGGAGGGCCAUUAUCUGUCUCACUUGGGGCCCUAUCCAGAACUGGAACUGUGAGAAUGGGGGAUUGUUGCAGGGGAAGGGGCCUCUCUGAAACACCCCACACAUUGAGCACCCAUCCCAGAACUAGUGCCACCUCUGAAUUUAAGGGCUGUGCUUGUCUGUGACAGGUCCACUUUAAAGCCUAGUAUUUUCAUUGUUUUUGUAUAGACACAGUAUAUGAUGUGUACACCGCUCCCCCUUCUUCAGCUACAGGAAUCAUUGUUACAUUGUCAUUGGCUAUAAUAAAUACUCGAGAGCAGCCAUUCUCAACCAACCCUAGGGUUCCUCCAGAGGUCGAUAAGGGCUUCUUGAGCUGUGGCUUACUGACCUCCCAUGUGAUGGUGCCGGCUUGGCUCAAGGUCCAACACUGCCUGACAGAGCGCCAUCUCUGUCAAGGGACCAUUCUUCCCACUGUCCACCACCAAAGGAAGGGGCAAUUCCCCAAAUACCACCAAUAGACUACUUUUAGCAAGGGUUCUUUGGGAGUAAAAAGGUUGAGAAGGGCUACUCUAGAGCCCAUAUAAUGUAAGAAGACGUAAAGGCGGAGUUAUACUUAAUAGGGUUCAGAUGUAGGGUGGAGCAGUGCAUGAUAGGUAGAUGUAGGCGGACUCUAUAGAUGUGCCCUUGGCAGUCCUACAAUCAUGUGUCCCCGCUCGGUCCGGCGCAGGGUGAUGGUGUCACCCUCUAGUAGGGGACUACGGGGUGUGAGUCUUCUCUCUCUCUCUGUCGGUUUCUGAUUGUAAAUGUGGUUUGAAAUUUCUGAUUUUACUACAUAGACAUUUUUUUAUAUGAAGCUCAACCAAUCACCUGUGUACAGAAAAUAAAAAUGUCUGCUUAACACAAA
Molecule: long non-coding RNA, 4603 nt
Organism: Rana temporaria (common frog)
Lineage: Eukaryota; Metazoa; Chordata; Amphibia; Anura; Ranidae
Exons: 2
Source: RefSeq, a predicted model, not a curated record